Molecule: ribosomal RNA, 274 nt
Filed under: uncultured bacterium
Lineage: Bacteria
Description: partial 16S ribosomal RNA
Rfam family: Bacterial small subunit ribosomal RNA
Source: RNAcentral
AUACGGAGGGUGCAAGCGUUAAUCGGAAUUACUGGGCGUAAAGGGUACGUAGGCGGUUAGAUAAGUUGGAUGUGAAAGCCCUGGGCUCAACCUAGGAACUGCAUUCAAAACUGUCUAACUAGAGUGUAUAAGAGGUUAGCGGAAUUCCAGGUGUAGCAGUGAAAUGCGUAGAUAUCUGGAGGAACAUCAGUGGCGAAGGCGGCUAACUGGUAUAACACUGACGCUGAGGUACGAAAGCGUGGGGAGCGAACGGGAUUAGAAACCCUAGUAGUCC